AGUGAACGCUGGCGGCAUGCCUAACACAUGCAAGUCGAACGGCAGCACAGCAGUAGCAAUACUGUGGGUGGCGAGUGGCGGGACGGGUGAGGAACACAUCGGAAUUUGCCCAGUCGUGGGGGAUAACGUAGGGGAAACUUACGCUAAUACCGCAUACGACCUUACGGUGAAAGCGGGGGAUCGCAAGACCUCGCGCGGAUGGAUGAGCCGAUGUCGGAUUAGCUAGUUGGUGGGGGUAAAGGCCUACCAAGGCGACGAUCCGUAGCUGGUCUGAGAGGAUGAUCAGCCACACUGGGACUGAGACACGGCCCAGACUCCUACGGGAGGCAGCAUGGGGGAAUAUUGGACAAUGGGGGGCAACCCUGAUCCAGCAAUGCCGCGUGUGUGAAGAAGGCCUCGG
RNAcentral lists this ribosomal RNA (400 nucleotides) under uncultured bacterium. RNAcentral's name for it is "bacterial SSU rRNA". It matches the Rfam family "Bacterial small subunit ribosomal RNA", at positions 30 to 420 of the family's 1533-position model. The record is from RNAcentral.